AGCUCUGUAAGCGUAUACCCAAGUUGUUGCAGUUAAAACGCUCGUAGUCGGAAUUUGGCGGGCGAGACGGGGCGUCUUCACGGAUGGGUCCGUCUUGGCCGCCUUUGUGGAGGGGGGCGUCGUGCUGCUUAAGUGCGGUACUGUCGUCGCUGCCACCGUUUACUGUGAAAAAAUUAGAGUGUUCAAAGCGGGCGUUUGCCAUGAAUACCUUAGCAUGGAAUAAUAGAAUAGGACCUGUGUUCUGUUUUGUUGGUUUGUGAGAACUGGGUAAUGAUUAAGAGGGACGGUUGGGGGCAUUUGUAUUCCGGCGUCAGAGGUGAAAUUCUUGGAUUGUCGGAAGACAAACGGCUGCGAAAGCGUCUGCCAAGGACGUUUUCA
This 378-nucleotide ribosomal RNA is filed under the name uncultured eukaryote. RNAcentral describes it as "SSU rRNA". It matches the Rfam family "Eukaryotic small subunit ribosomal RNA", at positions 587 to 972 of the family's 1831-position model. The record is from RNAcentral.